RNAcentral lists this ribosomal RNA (484 nucleotides) under uncultured bacterium. RNAcentral's name for it is "partial 16S ribosomal RNA". It matches the Rfam family "Bacterial small subunit ribosomal RNA", at positions 28 to 507 of the family's 1533-position model. The record is from RNAcentral.
AUUGAACGCUGGCGGCAUGCUUUACACAUGCAAGUCGAACGGCAGCGCGGGCUUCGGCCUGGCGGCGAGUGGCGAACGGGUGAGUAAUGCAUCGGAACGUGCCCAGUAGUGGGGGAUAGCCCGGCGAAAGCCGGAUUAAUACCGCAUACGACCUGAGGGUGAAAGCGGGGGACCGAAAGGCCUCGCGCUAUUGGAGCGGCCGAUGUCGGAUUAGCUAGUUGGUGGGGUAAAGGCUUACCAAGCCGACGAUCCGUAGCUGGUCUGAGAGGACGACCAGCCACACUGGGACUGAGACACGGCCCAGACUCCUACGGGAGGCAGCAGUGGGGAAUUUUGGACAAUGGGGGCAACCCUGAUCCAGCCAUGCCGCGUGCGGGAAGAAGGCCUUCGGGUUGUAAACCGCUUUUGUUCGGGAAGAAAUCCUCUGGGCUAAUACCCCGGGGGGAUGACGGUACCGGAAGAAUAAGCACCGGCUAACUACGUG